GCUAGGCGGGAGAGCGCGGCCAUGGCGGGGCCGGGCGUCCCCGGUGCCCCCGCAGCGCGCUGGAAACGCCACAUCGUGCGGCAGCUGCGGCUUCGGGACCGUACGCAAAAGGCGCUUUUCCUGGAGCUGGUGCCGGCCUAUAACCAUCUCUUAGAGAAGGCUGAGCUGCUGGACAAGUUCUCAAAGAAGCUGCAGCCGGAGCCAAACACUGUCACUCCCACCACCCACCAGGGCCCCUGGGAGGAGUCAGAGCUUGACUCAGACCAAGUCCCAUCACUGGUCGCACUGAGGGUGAAGUGGCAGGAGGAGGAGGAGGGGCUCCGGCUGGUCUGUGGUGAGGGGCCCGGACACCCUAGGCGAUGGGAUGAGGGAGAGAAGGGAGACUCUGGCUCUGGCCCCUGAGCCAGAGCCCCUGGAGAAGGAAGCUUGUGAGAAGUGGAAGAGGCCAUUCAGGUGAGGACCCAGGUGACAGUCUCAGAGCUCUGAGCUGAGCCCCACCCCAGAGGCUGCCAGGGUCUU
RNAcentral lists this small RNA (519 nucleotides) under Pan troglodytes (chimpanzee). RNAcentral's name for it is "retained intron". Lineage: Eukaryota; Metazoa; Chordata; Mammalia; Primates; Hominidae. The record is from RNAcentral.